RNAcentral lists this long non-coding RNA (201 nucleotides) under Elaeis guineensis (African oil palm). RNAcentral's name for it is "long non-coding RNA (EGUI_LNC039351)". Lineage: Eukaryota; Viridiplantae; Streptophyta; Magnoliopsida; Arecales; Arecaceae. The record is from RNAcentral.
UGCCAAUCUAACUGAAUCAAUCAUUAUCCCGUUGAUGAUCCGUCGAUUAGAAGUAAUUUAGAAAUUAAUCACAUAUGUCUCAAAUUUUCAACUCUUGAGAAUAUGUAUCUUUAAGUUAUUAAUUUCUUGGAUGAUUCAAAUAUACAUUACAUAAGAAUGAAAAUAAAAUUAUCCAUUUUAUUGAUAAAUUAAUAUUUUUAG